Molecule: unclassified non-coding RNA, 338 nt
Filed under: soil metagenome
Description: partial contains 5.8S ribosomal RNA, internal transcribed spacer 2, and large subunit ribosomal RNA
Rfam family: 5.8S ribosomal RNA (bases 1-120)
Source: RNAcentral
GAUGAAGAACGUAGCGAAAUGCGAUAAGUAAUGUGAAUUGCAGAAUUCAGUGAAUCAUCGAAUCUUUGAACACACAUUGCGCCCGGCAGUACUCUGCCGGGCAUGCCUGUUCGAGCGUCAUUUCAACCCUCAAGCCCUGCUUGGUGUUGGGGUCCCACGGCCGCCGUGGGCCCUGAAAGGAAGUGGCGGGCUCGCUACAACUCCGAGCGUAGUAAUUCAUUAUCUCGCUUAGGGCGUUGGGCGGCGCUCCUGCCGUUAAAGAACCAUCUUUAACUCAAGGUUGACCUCGGAUCAGGUAGGAAUACCCGCUGAACUUAAGCAUAUCAAUAAGCGGAGGA